CCCUGAUCUCCGGUCACCGCGUGAAUAAGGCACGCGGCACGUACACAGCCAGGCAAUCCACCCAGUAACCCUUUGCCAUGCCCGCAGCCAUGACCCAUUUUUGAUCCAACCCAACCAACUUACCAAGGAGGCUUGGAUCGAGAUUUUUACACCAAACUAAUAAGCUAUAAGCAUGACUAGAACCAGCACUGUCGCAAGCUUCAAUGUAGUCGUGGCGGUCAGAGCGUCGUGGAAGAAGACGCAGAGGAGACAAGAAGCAUGCAUCUUGUAAUAGCAUGUUGAUCAUCGUGGACGGGGGGCGCCAUUAGUGAAACAGCAUCGACGAUUCGACAUGCUAGAAACUCAAGAAACGACAGAGCUACAUUUGCAGUUAAAAUACAUUUUCAUUAUUGUGUUUGUAGAUUAAAAGAAGGUGCGUCGUGAAUAGUUUGUUAUAUAUAACUAAUAGUUAGCGAGGCAAGCGUAAAGCGGCAUUAUACACCAGCUAGUUGAUUCGGAAUACAUGCGCGGUUUAUAUGUGCGCGUGCGUGCGCGUUUGUUCCUGCGUCAGCGCGUGCGUGUGCGUUUGUGCCUGCGUCAGCG
This is a long non-coding RNA of Priapulus caudatus, 582 nucleotides long. RefSeq lists it as uncharacterized. Lineage: Eukaryota; Metazoa; Priapulida; Priapulimorpha; Priapulimorphida; Priapulidae. The transcript has 3 exons. The record is from RefSeq and is a predicted model, not a curated record.